Molecule: long non-coding RNA, 973 nt
Organism: Poecilia latipinna (sailfin molly)
Lineage: Eukaryota; Metazoa; Chordata; Actinopteri; Cyprinodontiformes; Poeciliidae
Exons: 3
Source: RefSeq, a predicted model, not a curated record
UGUGUCAAAAAUCUGUUUUUAAUACAAAAUCUAUAAAAAUUUGCACAAAACAAAAUACUGUACAUUACACAUUUCUUAUCUUACAAAUUAUUUACAUUUGGUUCACAUAAGUAAGCAAAAACACCCUCUUUUUACAACUUGUUCUAAAAAGUCCUGACCAAAAGCUGAAAAAAAAAAAAAUCAAACAGCUUCAAUUUCAAGCUUUCAGUCAUCAGCUGGAAAUAAACGCCACCACCGAGUGUUCAAAACAUAAAACAUGUAUGCUAUAUUUAGAUUUUUCAACCUCCAACCAGUGUUUCUUUUAAGUCCAACACCGUUUCUGGACUCAUAUAAACGAGGACAGAAGGUCUCACUGGUCUCAGUGUAUGUCUGGAAAAGAUAAAGUCCCACACCCAUUAGCCUGUGAGAAAGAUACGCUUCAGGACAUCCGAAGACUUCAAUUGUCAAAUUUGCCCAUACGAGACGAUGAAAACAUUGGUUAGGAUCUUAUUUUGAACACUUCACAUCUCCUUUCAACAGAAAUACAUUCACUACUUGGACACAUUGAUUGUUGUAUCACAAGAACGUCUACAGUCUCAUUACAUCCAGGGGAUAUGCUCAAAAGUGAUAACCCCCAACCGUCCUUUGCUGGCCACGGCAACCAUUAACAACAAAUGCAAACAGAUGCUCCAGGAUCAACUCACAUUUUCUUCAUUUCUUUUUAACAACUGUUGGAUAAUCCAAGAAACAUAUAAGUAAGAUGGGGUCAGUUUAGCUUUAAAGUAGAAUUAAACAAACAAGAAAAACCAACGUAAGAGCAGUGAUGAGGAAAUAAAGUAUCUGGUAAUGCUGUUCAGGUUCUGACCUCAGAAUGAGAGACUUUGGGAGAAAGGAACACAUGGUUUUGAUGCACAACCUGAGAAGCAGAGGAUCUUUCUUAGGGUUUAGAGAACUAGUACAUUAUUUUUUUAUACCCUUAUGGGAGGCUGCAGUA